UAUUUCCAAUAUCUGAAUACACAAGGAAAUUAUAAUCUCCUCCUUCACCUUAUGGAUCUCUUUCUUACAACAAUUCAGUCAUACGAAUAAUUGCUAUUUCCACCAAUAUAUUCACCCUCAUAAUCUCCAACUGUAAUAUUGUGCCCUCACAGCUUUCAAUACACAAUUACCCUCAUUCUAAUCACUGGAAUUCUUCACACAGAACUGCCAUUCACAUUACAGUAUUUUACACAAACACAGACUCAUUCUAUCUGCUGAACUACAAUCAGAUUUCAGCAUUCAAACUUUCUUUUUCUCAAAUAAUACCAAUUACAUUUCCAUUCCAUAAUUCACUUCACAAUAUUCAGAAACUCUCAAUCCUCUUAUUCAAAGAAAAUAACAAACAAAAGAAAAGAAAUAGCACUAAGCUUACCCCGGCU
RNAcentral lists this long non-coding RNA (419 nucleotides) under Physcomitrium patens. RNAcentral's name for it is "long non-coding RNA (PPAT_LNC009537)". The record is from RNAcentral. Lineage: Eukaryota; Viridiplantae; Streptophyta; Bryopsida; Funariales; Funariaceae.